Molecule: long non-coding RNA, 3701 nt
Filed under: Homo sapiens (human)
Lineage: Eukaryota; Metazoa; Chordata; Mammalia; Primates; Hominidae
Description: non-protein coding lnc-UBE2QL1-4:1
Source: RNAcentral
GGAUUCUGGAGGAGGCCUCGGCGCGCAGCUGGGCGAGUACUAACUGUUUGCACUCUCAUCAGACCUGCCUCGGUCAUGGGAGAAGUUGAAGACUUUCUGCAAUGCAGCAUCUUCAAGCAAUACACACAUGGAUGAAAAUCCUAAAGUUUGCAUGAAGGACCAAUAACGUGCCUAGAAACAGGCAAAGUGAGGGAGCUCCUUUGCUAGAUGAUCUUCAGAGCCUCUCCCAGCUGUGACCAGAAAUGGAAAGCCAGAGAAGGUAAGUGACUUGCCAAACUUAUGGAAUCAGGGCACUCCAGUUGGUGGGCUGGGCUGAUAAACAGAAAUGUUACAUAAAAUACUUCUCUCCUGAUUUAACAACAAUUAACUUUAGGGAAUUAUAAAACAAGAUGGAGGCUGGGCGUGGUGGCUCAGGCCUGUAAUCCCAGAACUUUGGAAGGCCAAGGCAGGUGGAUUACCUGAGGUGAGGAGUUCGAGACCGACCUGACCAAUAUGGAGAAACCCUGUCUCUACUAAAAAUACAAAAAUUAGUCAGACAUGGUGGUGUGCGCCUGUAGUCCCAGCUACUUGGGAGGCUGAGACAGGAGAAUUGCUUGAACCCAGGAGGCAGAGGUUGCAGUAAGCCGAGAUCAUGCCACUGCACUCCAGCCUGGGCAACAGAGCAAGACUCAAAAAAAAAAAAAAAAGGUGGAAAUAAAAUAUUAGACAAAUAAAAAAUUUUAAGUUAUUAGGUAGAGGUAGCGACAUGGAGUGAACGGCCUUUCUCAAUUUCAUAAGUAAGAAAGAUAGAUAAUUGAUGGAACUUAGGCUUUGGUAAGUAUUUAUUUUAAAAAUUUAAGGGUAUCUCUUUGCUAGUAUAUAUAAUUCCCAAACUAGUAGACAGGGGGAAGGGAAUAAAGAAAACACAAUCAACUCAAUAGAAGGCAAGAAAAGAAGAGAAUAAAGAAGCAAAGAACAAGCAUGGAAAAUAAAACUCACAACGUAAAGUGCAAAAAUUAAAGGCACACGACUCAACAGCAAAAAAGCAAAAGAAGAAAUUUAUAAAUGGGCAAAGGACCUGAACAGAUACUUCUCAAAAGAAGACAUAAAAAUGACCAGCAAAAAUGCUCAGCAUCACAUAUCAUCAGGGAAAUACAAAUUAAAAGCAUAAUGAGAUGUCACCUUACACUGUUAGAAGGGCUAUAAUCAAAAAGACCAAAGACAAUGGGUGUGGGUGAAAAUGUGGAGGAAAGGGAACCCUUGUACACUGUUGAUGGGAAUGUAAAUUAGUGCAGCCUUUAUGGAAAAUAGAAUGGAAGUUUCCCAAAACUCUAAAAACAGAAUUACCAUAUGAUCCAGCAGUCCUACUUCUGAGUAUAUACUGUGAACCCUGAAUAUCUGAGACAGUUCUCAGUUAAUUUAGAAAGUUUAUUUUGCCAAGGUUGAAGACACACACUCAUGACACGGCCUCAGGAGGUCCUGAUGACAUGAGCCCAAGGUGGUCAGGGCACAGCUUGGUUUUAUACAUUUUAGGGAAACAUGAGACAUAAAUCAAUAUGUAAGUGUAAGGUAUACACUGGUUCUGUCCAGAAAGGCGGGAAAACUCAAAGCAGGGAGGGGGCUUCCAGGUCACUGGUAGGUGAAAGACAAAUAGUUACAUUAUUUUGAGUUUCUGAUUUGCCUUUCCAAAGGAGGCAAUCAGAUAUGCACCUAUCUCAGUGAGCAAAGGGAUCACUUUGAAUAGAAUGGGAGGCAGGUUGUCCCUGAGCAUUUUCCAGCAUGACUUUUCCCUUUAGCUUAGUGAUUUGGGGGCCCCAAAAUUUAUUUUCCUUUCACAAUACUCAAAGGAAUUGAAAUCACUAUGUCAAAGAGAUAUCUGUGUUUCCAGAAAGAGGUCCCAGUCCAGACCCCGAGAGAGUUCUUGGAUCUUGUGAAAGAAGGAAUUCAGGGUGAGUCCAUAUAGUAAAGUAAAAGCAAGUGUAUUAGUAAAAUAAAGGAAUAAAGAAUGGCUACUCCAUAGGCAGAGCGGCCCGAGGGCUACUGGUUACUUGCUGUUAUGGUUAUUUCUUGAUUGUAUGCUAAGCAAGUGGUGGCUUAUUUAUGCCUCCCCGUUUUAGACCAUUUAGGGUAACUUCCUAACAGGUCAUGGCAUUUGGAAACUGUCAGGGCAGUGGUGGGAGUAUAGCAGUGAGAACUCUCGUUGCCAUCUUGGUUUUGGUGGGGUUUAGCUGGCUUCUUUACAGCAAACUGUUUUAUCAGUGAGGUGUUUAUGACCUGUAUUUGGUGCCGACCUCCUAUCUCAUCUUGUGACUUAGAAUGCCUAACCAUCUGGGAAUGCAGCCCAGUAGGUUUGUUUCAGCCUUAUUUUACCCAGCUCCUAUUCAAGAUGGAGUUGCUCUGCUUCAAAUGCCUCUAACAUCUGUACCCCAUAAAAAUAGACAAUUAUUAUUUGUUAAUUAAAAAUAAAAUUAAAAAGUGUAUCAUGAACUGUGUUCCCUGUCAUUAAAUGUGUGCCUUCCCCACUAAAAACAUACGUUAGUGAACACAGUAAAUGUUAACAGAUUUAACAUUUAAUUAAUUUAAUUAAUUAAUUAAUUAUUUAAUUUAACAUUUAACUGUUAGUCUAUCCUAACAGUUAAAUGUUAACAGAUUUAACUGUUAGGGUAGACUCUCAGAUUAGAAUCCAAUUGGAAGUGUUUUGUUUUGUUGUUUUAAUCUAGCUAUGUUGCUUUUCAAAGGUACACCUAAAACAAACUUAUAGACAGGUUGAAAAUAAAGAGGGAGGAUAGAAUAAUAUAUGGCAGGCAACCAAAAGAAAGUUGUUAAUGCAUAUAAAAGUUAGUAAAGAAACAUUAAAAAGAUGCUUUUAAUGGUAAAGAGAAGACUCAUUAAAGAUAGAAUACUAUUCACCUAUAAGCAACUGACAACAUAGUCCCAUAUUAUCUAGCACAAAAAUUGACAAAAUAUGAGGAAAAAUUCAAAAUCCAUAAUUAUUACAGAGGAUUUGGAGUACCUCUAUCAGAAAACAAUAAAUCAAGUAGGCCAAAAAGCAUAUGAAGAAUAUGGAAGACUUAAGUAAUAUAUUAAGAAUUGUGAUCUCUGAAAAACAGUGACCCCUGAAGAAUAGAUUGUUUCCAAGCACAUUUCAAAUACUUACAAAAACUUGACCAUUCCCUAGACCACAAAGAAAGUUUCAGCAAACUCAGAUCCUAUCACAUAGACCAGAUUUUCUGACCUCGUAAUUCCAGUAGAAAUCUAUGAAUUUAUUCAUUUUCUACACAUACAUACACGUUCGAAAAUCAAAACACACUCUAAAUAAUUCAUGAGUUUACAUACAUCUGAGAAUGGGCAAGACCCAAUUAUGUCUGUUGUCUUCGUGUGAUUAUUAAUAGCACUCUUCCACUCACUGUCAAACAUGUCCCAGUUUGGUUGAUACGUUAUGUGGACAUCCUAUUUAAAAGGAAAAUUAUAAAACAUUUGGAAUUAAAUGACAAGAAUUCCCUGUCAAACUUCUGCUUUACUCCUGAGGUAAUAAUUUGAGGGAAAACAGCCUGGAAAAAAUAAACUGGAGUUUCAACUCAAAGAGUAGGAUAAAAAGAAUCAAAAGGGAAAUCACAGGCACCAAAAAAUACAUAAAAAGGGGUGACAAAAGUAAAGACAGACACUGAUGAAAAUGAGAACUAUUGCAUUAGUUUUCUGUCUAGCUGCAUUCGAAGCUGGAA